AACUAUCAACCUCUGUACUUCAUUUUGAGCCUCCGAUUAACCUCCAAACUGAGAGCACAUAAUGACAACUUGUUUCUGCCUUCCCAAAACUAAUCCAGAAGAGACUUCCGUAACCAAAAGAAAUGAUCGAGAGCCUGCUUCUAACACUAAUUCUAAUAAUCCCAAAGGAAAAGGAUCCAAAGCUUUCAACUUUCGGGGGAACGAAAUCUGCGACAACAAAGGCGAAACCGUCGGAGUAUUUAACUUCGGCAACAAGAAGACCGCGGGCUCCACUGACAAGCAGGAUGGCGGCUCCAAUCUUGUUUUCACCUUUGAAGAUAUUAAAAUUCAGAGGAACCAGGCCAAGAAUACUGUCGGAUUUUGUGACUUCGGCAACGAGUAUUGAUCUUCAAUAUCCCUCGCUUGCAGGCCUCUUUUUCUUUUUUCUUUUUUUCUUUUUUUGAUUAUAGUACUAUUUUAUUUCUUAUGUGCGUGGUAGUUUAACAUAAAUUGUUCUUGUCAUGAGUAAAUGAAAAAAUUAAAAAUUAAAAAUCUUAAUUUUAUGUGGGGCGUGAAUAGUAACAGCAUUUACCUCCCUUUGUCUUUUGCUAUGAUAAAUAGGUGGAAGUGCUCUAAUAGGUGGGCCAUUAUUCUUUUAUGCAAUGAAUUUAAAGACGAAAAGAAAAGAAGAAAGCUCAUUCACUUCAACAGCUUUUAACCAAACACAUUCUCAAAGUAGUAUAAUUACCAUUUUUUGAAGACUACAUACAUAUGAUAACAGAAUGCAAGCCAACAUAUGAUAGGACUAUAUAUGAGUUUAUAAUUUCUAAUCACUAUUUAUCAUUAAACUAUGCUUAGCUCGAAGAUUGGUUAUAAAAAGGGACCAGCUUAUGACUGUAUAUUCAUCCGACACAGCUCGAGCUCGACUGAUUUGUAGCUCGUUUGAGCUCCACUCGUAAAAGAAACAAACAAAACAAGCUUAGCUCGAUAAAUAUAUUAAAUAAAGUCAAGCUUGAUUUACCAUAUGAUACUCCGCAUGAAUUCUUUGCAUAUACAUAAAAGAGAGUUUCAAUUGAGGGAUUUCAGUUAAAUAUAUUUGGGAGAUACUUUUGAUGGAGUCAGAAUUUCAUGUAUUGGGAGGCGUCUCUCAAAAUAUAAAUAAUAAUAAAAUUGAUCUCAUAAUACACAUACCAAACUAACAAAAGGGACCAAAACAUCAUGUAUAUCACAUAUAUCAAAAAUCAUUUUCCUAUUCAUUACAAUCGUAGUUGUAUUCGACGAGUUUUCAUAUUUUGAAAUCAUUACAUAAUAACCUCGUCAUAUUUUGAAAUUGUCGCAUAAUAGCCUUGUCACAAAGAAAUCAUUAUAAGCAAGAAAAAUUGUCAAGGAUUACAAAAUGCAUACUUGGAGUUGAAUAGCGAUUUAGAAAUAUCUUUAAAGCUUUUUUCCUUUCGUAAUUUGCACAUAAAUUGAAAGACUCAUUAAACUCAAUAGAAAAGACGAAGAAGAAAAAAAUUUAAUUUAACAAAAAUAAAAUAAAAUCAUAAGGGGAGUUAAUCAUCGAAACAAGUCGUCUUGUGUUUUGGGAAUUGUUUUACAACAGUGAGGGGAGCUGAGAAUGAAAAUGUGAGGUUUCGACUUGGUAGGCAAAUACCAGGAACUUGGUUUGGGCCUAUAAUAUAAUUUAAACAUCACAAAACAUGAUAAUAUCCAUAGCAGCAUGGUACUAUUUUUUUAAAUAAAAUAAAAUUGAGGAGGGGCAGGGGACCACCCUGGUCCUAUGCUGUCUUCGCCCCUGCUUGUAGGUUCAUCAUGUAUUGUAUUUCAAUGAUCCGAAUAGUCUAGUUUUUAGAUAUUACCCCAAUCACUUGAAUUCAAAAUUAUUUGACCACUCAAAUGGAUGGUUGUUAUUUUAAUUUUGGAAGCGUACUGUGUUUGUUGAUUUUAUUGGUCCCAAUUAGAUGCCUUCGUAAUUUUUAAUUUGCCUAAUUUUUUUUUAUAAAAAUAAUUUAUAAAAUAAAGACUUGAAAAAUAAAAGGUGUGGAUCAUCAUGCAAGUGGAAGAUACAACCAUGUAUAACGCGCAAGAUACAAUCAUGUAUGUUGUGGAAUCCAAUGUAAUAAUGCAAUGUUGGUUGGUUAAAAAAUAAUAGUUGAUAAAAGUUGAGGUGUGGCUUUCAUUUUCAACCAAUAUAGCAUCCUCUAGAGAAAACUUGCAUCGCCCGUAUUCGGGUUCUUGUGAAGGCAGCAUAGAUAGUAGCUUGGCAAGCAAGCUAAGGGUUACUUCAAGAGAUUCCUCCUCUUUCAUCGUCAAUAUAAAAGGGAUGUGACAUGCAUGCUUAUAUAUUAUUCUCAUCACGUUUUAAGAUAAAGCUAGCGGACAAGGCAAAUUAUCAACCUCUGUACUUCAUUUUGAGCCUCCGAUUAACCUCCAAACGAUUGAGACAUAAUGACAACUUGUUUCUGCUUUCCCAAACCUAAUCCAGACGAGACUUCCGUAACCAAAAGAAAUUAUCGGGAGCCUGAUCCUAACAUUAAUUCUAAUAGUCCCAAAGGAAAGGGACCCAAAGCUUUCAACUUUCGCGGAAAUGAUCUAUGCGACAACAAAGGCGACACCGUCGGAGUAUUCAACUUUGGCAACAAGAAGACCCAGGGCUGCAGCGGUACUGACAAACAGGAUGGCGGCUCCAAUAUUAAUUCUACUUUCAACUUUGAGGAUAACAAAAUUCAGAGGAACCAAGCCAAGAAAAUUGUCGGAUUUUGUGACUUCGGCAACGAGUAUUGAUCAUUCAAUAUCUGGCUCUCGUAGACCUCUUUUUCUUUUUCUUUUUUUAAUAAUGUAUCGUGCUAUUUUAGUCCUUAUAAUAUCCAACAAUAUUAAUAAAUAUAGAUUUUUGACUUAAAUGGUCUUUGAAUUUACACCAGCGUUUCAAAUAAGACAAAAGUCCUCAAUUCAUUCGUUC
This 2941-nucleotide long non-coding RNA is filed under the name Prunus persica (peach). Its description in RNAcentral is "long non-coding RNA (PPER_LNC000354)". Lineage: Eukaryota; Viridiplantae; Streptophyta; Magnoliopsida; Rosales; Rosaceae. The record is from RNAcentral.